RNAcentral lists this ribosomal RNA (494 nucleotides) under uncultured bacterium. Its description in RNAcentral is "partial 16S ribosomal RNA". It matches the Rfam family "Bacterial small subunit ribosomal RNA", at positions 28 to 507 of the family's 1533-position model. The record is from RNAcentral.
GACGAACGCUGGCGGCGUGCCUAAUACAUGCAAGUCGAACGGUUUAGUUCCAAGAGGCUUGCCUUUUGGAACUAGACAGUGGCGGACGGGUGAGUAACACGUAGGCAACCUACCUGUCAAACCGGGAUAACCUCGGGAAACCGAAGCUAAACCCGGAUAAGCUCCUUUUUCGCAUGAAGGGGGAGUGAAAAGGUGCGACCUGAUGACAGAUGGGCCUGCGGCGCAUUAGCUAGUAGGUAGGGUAACGGCCUACCUAGGCGAUGAUGCGUAGCCGACCUGAGAGGGCGUACGGCCACACUGGGACUGAGAUACGGCCCAGACUCCUACGGGAGGCAGCAGUAGGGAAUCUUCGGCGAUGGGCGAAAGCCUGACCGAGCAACGCCGCGUGAGUGAGGAAGGCCUUCGGGUUGUAAAACUCUGUUGUUUGGGAAGAAGGGAAAGGGUAGGACCCUUAGGUGACGGUACCAAACGAGAAAGCCCCGGCUAACUACGUG